RNAcentral lists this long non-coding RNA (815 nucleotides) under Homo sapiens (human). RNAcentral describes it as "novel transcript, antisense to SLC25A17". Lineage: Eukaryota; Metazoa; Chordata; Mammalia; Primates; Hominidae. The record is from RNAcentral.
GCCUCAGCUCGCUGGUAUCUCGCGGAGCAGCUCCUGUGCCCUUCUGUGCUCGCCGGUCGUGCGUCCGGCUCCCCGUCUUCCCCUCCCUGUCACAGCGCCGCGCCGCACUCCUUUCCUUCAUUCCCAUACCACUCUGAACUUGUGCGCGUCGUGUGAGGUGUUCUCCCAGGGGCGCUCCGUGAGGGCCGGGGACCACCUGGGGCCGGGUUGCUCACGAGCCGGGCACAGUGCACUCUCCCUUUAGUUGUGUUUGGGGGACGAGUAUCGCGGGGGAGGGGAGGGAGUCACCAUGCCCGCCGGAAACCCCCCGCUGAGUCGUCCGCCCUGCACCUGCCUCGGAGCCCAUGGUUCGGACGUUUGCCCGAGCCGUUUCCCGGGGCCUUCCCUCCAGCUCCGAGCGUCUGGCCGUGUCCGCGGCGAUAGCAUCGCCCCGUUACGGCCUCUGCGGGAGGGGGAACUGAGGGGACGACGCGGGCUCUGGAAACAUUUCGGACCCGUUUCGGGCAGGCAUGAGUCUUCCGAGCGCCUUGUGAUUCCUCGGGGGGCUCAACGUCGAAAGAAAGGCGAGGGAGACUCUGGGGCCUGGGCCACGCUGUGCGGGAGUAAGAGGAGCCGAGGACGAGGCUGACGGCCGUGAAACUAGCCGAGUGCCACAAAGGACCUUCCCCUCACCGCCUCUGGCGCUCCUUUCCUUGCAGCCUGGAGGGCCGGCUCUGGCUCUGCGCAGGCGCGCGGGCGCAGCCCCUCUCCCAACUCUUGUUUGCUCUUUCUGGCCAGCGACCCCAGUGUGGGGCACGCGGGAGAGCCCCACAUUU